This 492-nucleotide ribosomal RNA is filed under the name uncultured bacterium. RNAcentral describes it as "partial 16S ribosomal RNA". It matches the Rfam family "Bacterial small subunit ribosomal RNA", at positions 30 to 507 of the family's 1533-position model. The record is from RNAcentral.
AUUGAACGCUGGCGGCAGGCCUAACACAUGCAAGUCGAACGGCAGCACAGUAAGAUCUUCCUCUUACGGAUUGCCAGUCGCGGACGUGUUAGAUCUACAUCUGUCUCUACUUUUUCGUUCGCCCGAACGUAGGCAAACUUACACUAAUAACGCAUACGACCUACAGAUGAAAGCCUUGCAUCUCCCGCCCUUGCGCGAUUGAAUGAGCCGAUGUCGGAUUAGCUAGUUGUAGGGGUAAAGGCCUACCAAGGCGACGAUCCGUAGCUGGUCUGAGAGGAUGAUCAGCCACACUGGAACUGAGACACGGUCCAGACUCCUACGGGAGGCAGCAGUGGGGAAUAUUGGACAAUGGGCGAAAGCCUGAUCCAGCCAUGCCGCGUGUGUGAAGAAGGCCUUCGGGUUGUAAAGCACUUUUGUUGGGAAAGAAAAGCAGGAGGUUAAUACCGUGGUGUGAUGACGGUACCGAAAGAAUAAGCACCGGCUAACUUCGUG